GACGAACGCUGGCGGCGUGCCUAAUACAUGCAAGUAGAACGCUGAAGAGAGGAACUUACUCUUCUUGGUUGAGUUGCGCACGGGUGAGUAACGCGUAGGUAACCUGCCUUGUAGCGGGGGAUAACUAUUGGAAACGAUAGCUAAUACCGCAUAACAAUGGUUGACACAUGUCAUUUAUUUGAAAGGGGCAAUUUCUCUACUACAUGAUUGACCUGCGUUGUAUUAGCUAGUAGGUGAGGUAAUGGCACCCCUAGGCGACGAUACAUAGCCGACCUGAGAGGGAGAUGAGGCACCCCGAGACUGAGACUCGGACCAGACCCAUACGGGUAGGAGAAGUAGGGGUGAGGCGUCAAUGGGGGCAAGCCUGACCGAGCAACGGCGAGGGAGUGAAGAAGAAUAUCGGAUUGUGAAGCGUAGUUGUCUGUUAAGAGCGGGUGUGAGAGUGGAAAUUUCACACUUUGUCGGUAGCUUACGAGAAAGGGACGGCUAAUUACGUG
RNAcentral lists this ribosomal RNA (497 nucleotides) under uncultured bacterium. RNAcentral describes it as "partial 16S ribosomal RNA". It matches the Rfam family "Bacterial small subunit ribosomal RNA", at positions 28 to 507 of the family's 1533-position model. The record is from RNAcentral.